This 242-nucleotide ribosomal RNA is filed under the name Triticum aestivum (bread wheat). Its description in RNAcentral is "partial small subunit ribosomal RNA". Lineage: Eukaryota; Viridiplantae; Streptophyta; Magnoliopsida; Poales; Poaceae. The record is from RNAcentral.
UCGCCGUCCUUGCAGCAGCUCUGCCCCUCGCCCACAGCCAAGGCGCGACGCUGUGCUGCGACAAGUGCGGCAUCUGCACCAGGUCCUUCCCGCCGCAGUGCAGAUGCAUGGACAUCUCGCCUACCGGGUGCAACCCGGCCUGCAAGACCUGCGCCAAGUCCACCGUCGGCGGCCGUGACAGCUUCCAGUGCAAGGAUUUCAUCACCAACUUCUGCGAGACCCGCUGCACUAAGGCCGCGUGA